UACGAAGGGUGCAAGCGUUACUCGGAAUUACUGGGCGUAAAGCGUGCGUAGGUGGUUCGUUAAGUCUGAUGUGAAAGCCCUGGGCUCAACCUGGGAAUGGCAUUGGAAACUGGCGACCUAGAGUGCGGUAGAGGGUAGUGGAAUUCCCGGUGUAGCAGUGAAAUGCGUAGAGGUCGGGAGGAACACCAGUGGCGAAGGCGACUACCUGGCCUGUUCUUGACGCUGAGGCGCGAAAGCUAGGGGAGCAAACGGG
This 253-nucleotide ribosomal RNA is filed under the name uncultured bacterium. RNAcentral describes it as "partial 16S ribosomal RNA". It matches the Rfam family "Bacterial small subunit ribosomal RNA", at positions 524 to 776 of the family's 1533-position model. The record is from RNAcentral.